GACGAACGCUGGCGGCGUGCUUAACACAUGCAAGUCGAACGGAAAGGCCCUGCUUGCAGGGUACUCGAGUGGCGAACGGGUGAGUAACACGUGGGUGAUCUGCCCUGCACUUCGGGAUAAGCCUGGGAAACUGGGUCUAAUACCGGAUAGAAGCCAUCCUUAGGGUGAUGGUUGGAAGGUUUUUUCGGUGUAGGAUGAGCUCGCGGCCUAUCAGCUUGUUGGUGGGGUAAUGGGCUACCAAGGCGGCGACGGGUAGGCGGCCUGAGGGGGUGGACGGCCAAAUUGGGGCCUGGGAUAGGCCCAGACUUCUAAGGGGAGCAACCGGUGGGAAUUAUGCACAAUGGGGGCAAGGCUGAUGGAGCGAAGCCGGGUGGGGGAUGAAGGCCUUCGGGUUGUAAACCCCUUUCGGUAGGGACGAAGCCUUGUGUGACGGUACCUAGAUAAGAAGCACCGGCUAACUACGUG
Molecule: ribosomal RNA, 465 nt
Filed under: uncultured bacterium
Lineage: Bacteria
Description: partial 16S ribosomal RNA
Rfam family: Bacterial small subunit ribosomal RNA
Source: RNAcentral